UACAGCGGCGUCUUCUGGUCGUACGGGAGUUGAACUUUGUAACCCGGCGUGGAGAGUCGCCUUGAAGAUGUUUUCAGAGCGAGAAAACAGCAGAAAGAGGCUGAUGGAACUUCUGGACAAACCAGGAAAUAGUCACUGUGCGGACUGCUCAGCGACAGCUCCAGAGUGGGCAUCGUACACUCUAGGCGUGUUUGUGUGCCACAGCUGCUCAGGCCUUCACAGAAACAUCGCACACAUCAGCAAGGUGAAGUCUCUCCUGCUGGACCCAUGGACCACGGCACAGCUGGAGUUGAUGGACUCAGUGGGCAACCACGCAGCCAAGGCUACGUACGAGCAGACGGUCCCCGCGUUCUACUUUCGGCCCACUCACAAAGACUGUGCGCUUUUACGGGAGCAGUGGAUCCGCGCCAAGUACGAGAGGAAGGAGUUCAUGCUGGGGGGUAGGCAGGAGUCCUACUCAGUAGGCUACCGGGAGGGGUUUCUAUGGAAACGAGGCAAAGAUAACGGACAGUAUCUCAGCCGAAAAUUCGUCCUGUGCGAACAAGAGGGGGUGCUCAAGUAUUUCAACAAGCACGAUGGGAGAGAGCCCAAAGCGAUCAUGAGCAUCGCUACAUUGAACGCCACCUUCCAGCCCGUUAAAAUUGGCACAGCCCACGGUCUUCAGAUAAGCUACCUAAAGGAUGAGAACCCUCGCAAUCUCUUUGUCUACCACGAGGAUGGCAAGGAAAUGGUGGACUGGUUCAAUGCCAUCCGAGCGGCCAGAUUGAGCUACCUGCGGGUGGCCUUCCCCGGAGCUCCUGAGGCUGACCUGCUGCCCAAGUUAACCAGGGACUAUGUGAAACAGGGCUUUAUGGAGAAGACCGGUCCCAAGCACACAGAGGGCUUUAAGAAGAGAUGGUUCUGCAUGGAUGAGAGGAGGCUCAUGUACUUCAAAGAUCCCCUGGACGCCUACGCGCGAGGCCAGGUCUUCAUCGGCAGUCAGGAAAACGGCUACGACGUCCUGCCGGGUCUCCCGCCAGGUGUUCACAGCUCCCGCUGGCAGUACGGGAUCACCGUGGCCACGCCGGACAGGACCUAUCUUUUUGCGUGUGAGAGCGAGAAGGAGCGGACGGGCUGGAUAGCGGCGUUUCACACGUUCAUCGGCUGUCCAAUGCUCCCUCAAGAGUAUGCCGGUAUGUCUCCAGCCGGGUGGCCUCCUGCUUAACUUUAGUCAUCCAUUUGAAGAGAUUAUACACCCACAUGGACCUGAAGUUGAAAAGCGUGCAGCUCAGAGGAGGCGUCAGAUCCGGCAUCCGAUAGGUGCGGGCUCGGCGGCGUGAUAAGCAUGAAGCCACCAGUGGGAAAAGCAUCUCUGCUCAUUACUGCUUGCCCGCUGAGCAAUCCAAAUAUGCACAAAGCUGCUCUUUGGAGUGUGCACAUUUUGUGGAGGCCCGUUUUAAGCACCAACUUGACUAUUAGGAUCUUGACAACAAACUGGAGGAUGGAGCCAUUUUACCUGCCAGCGAGAGGAUGUCAUGCCUAAGUGAGGACAAGUCGGUUCCCAUCCGGCAACUUCAACGUGGCGGCGCAUGGGCUCUUUUCUGUUUGCUCACUUUUCAUUUGCAUAUGACUGCUUGAUGCCCUGAGGAACAUAAAACAAUGUUAUUGUUUGCAGUUGGGCUUCCCUAACCCUAACGCCAUAUUCUAGAGAGCAAAAAUGGCAGCUCCCACCCGUAGGCGAGUAAAUGCCAUGUUUUGAAUGUAGUCUUUUAGAAUACAUGCUUGGUAGAGUAAAGUUAAAAAAAAAAAAAACACUGUUCAGUAACUCAGUCAAUUUUUUAUUAAACUGGAAAUCUUGACAUGCUA
Syngnathus typhle (broad-nosed pipefish) is the source of this 1845-nucleotide RNA transcript. It is a transcript of the gene named arf-GAP with dual PH domain-containing protein 1-like, with no coding region annotated. The transcript has 11 exons. NCBI's taxonomy places the organism in Eukaryota, Metazoa, Chordata, Actinopteri, Syngnathiformes, Syngnathidae. The record is from RefSeq and is a predicted model, not a curated record.